RNAcentral lists this ribosomal RNA (443 nucleotides) under uncultured bacterium. Its description in RNAcentral is "bacterial SSU rRNA". It matches the Rfam family "Bacterial small subunit ribosomal RNA", at positions 36 to 489 of the family's 1533-position model. The record is from RNAcentral.
UCAGGNUCAGGCCUAACACAUGCAAGUCGAGCGAGAAAGCCCUUCGGGGUGAGUACAGGGCGGACGGGUGAGUAUAGCGUGGGAAUCUACCCAGUAGCGGGGGAUAGCCCGGGGAAACUGGGAUUAAUACCGCAUACGCCAUACGGGGGAAAGCAGGGGAUUUUCGGACCUUGCACUAUGGGAGGAGCCCGGGUCGGAUUAGUUAGUUGGUGGGGUAAUGGCCUACCAAGGCGACGAUCUGUAGCUGGUCUGAGAGGAUGAUCAGCCACCCUGGGACUGAGACACGGCCCAGACUCCUACGGGAGGCAGCAGUGGGGAAUAUUGGACAAUGGGGGCAACCCUGAUCCAGCCAUGCCGCGUGUGUGAAGAAGGCCUUCGGGUUGUAAAGCACUUUCAGUGGGGAGGAAAAGNUGUUGGUUAAUACCCAACGGUCCUGACNAGNA